CCUACGGGCGGCAGCAGUAGGGAAUAUUGCUCAAUGGGGGAAACCCUGAAGCAGCAACGCCGCGUGGAGGAUGAAGGUUUUCGGAUUGUAAACCCCUUUUGUUAGAGAAGAUAAUGACGGUAUCUAACGAAUAAGCACCGGAUAACUCCGUGCCAGUAGCCGCGGUAAUACGGAGGGUGCAAGCGUUACUCGGAAUCACUGGGCGUAAAGAGCGCGUAGGCGGGAUAGCAAGGCAGAUGUGAAAUGCUAUGGCUUAACCAUAGAACUGCAUUUGAAACUGUUAGUCUAGAGUAUGGGAGAGGUAAGUGGAAUUCUUGGUGUAGGGGUAAAAUCCGUAGAGAUCGAGAGGAAUACUCAUGGCGAAGGCGACCUGCUGGAACAUAACUGACGCUGAUGCGCGAAGGCGUGGGGAGCGAACAGGAUUAGAUACCCGUGUAGUC
RNAcentral lists this ribosomal RNA (440 nucleotides) under uncultured bacterium. RNAcentral describes it as "partial 16S ribosomal RNA". It matches the Rfam family "Bacterial small subunit ribosomal RNA", at positions 338 to 795 of the family's 1533-position model. The record is from RNAcentral.